Molecule: ribosomal RNA, 301 nt
Filed under: uncultured bacterium
Lineage: Bacteria
Description: partial 16S ribosomal RNA
Rfam family: Bacterial small subunit ribosomal RNA
Source: RNAcentral
CAGUAGCCGCGGGAAUACGAAGGGUGCAAGCGUUAAUCGGAAUUACUGGGCGUAAAGCGUGCGCAGGCGGUUGUGUAAGACAGGUGUGAAAUCCCCGGGCUUAACCUGGGAACUGCGCUUGUGACUGCACAGCUAGAGUAUGGCAGAGGGGGGUGGAAUUCCACGUGUAGCAGUGGAAUGCGUAGAGAUGUGGAGGAACACCGAUGGCGAAGGCAGCCCCCUGGGCCAAUACUGACGCUCAUGCACGAAAGCGUGGGGAGCAAACAGGAUUAGAUACCCCUGUAGUCCCUGUCUCUUAUAC